Molecule: long non-coding RNA, 1168 nt
Organism: Panicum virgatum (switchgrass)
Lineage: Eukaryota; Viridiplantae; Streptophyta; Magnoliopsida; Poales; Poaceae
Exons: 3
Source: RefSeq, a predicted model, not a curated record
CCGUCGACAUGCACAGUUUUUUUUUUUUGCAAAAACCCCCUCGCGGCCGGCAUUUACUGAGGAGAGAGAAAGGUGUCGUCGUCUCGUUCGUCGCCGGCUUCGGCGCGUGGUACAAGAUGAAGCGACGAGCAGCACGAGCGUUGUACGAACUGUUGCGGCUCGUCGACGGCGGCGAGGAUCCGGUGCGCACGGAGGGAAUCGUUUGGCGGCAACAGUUGGCGCCAUCUUCCCCAUCAUCCCCGAAAAAUCCCCUCCUCCCUUGAUAAAAUCCCCACGCGUGGUGCUCCUCUCCUACCUGACGGCCACCAUGUCGCGGCAGGCAGAGAAGGCGGCGGCGGUGGCAGCCCGAGUUGCUCCGCGCGAUGCUUGCGGCAGGCGCGGGUGCGGUGGCCUGAAGACCCAGCAGUGGUGUCAGGAGGGCGAGGCCCCGCCCGUGCAUCUCGGCGCCUAGCCGCAGCCUGUGGGGCAGCGGCAGCCUCCCCACCGCAGGUCAGGCCCAUGCUUGCUCGCAGCGCGGCCGCCGAGAUCUCCCCACUACCGCCGAGGCCUCCACGGCGCUGCUCGCCCACGACGCCUCCUCUCCUUGCUCUCGUAGGGGCUCCGUGCCUCCAUGGGGCUAGUGGGACAUCAAAUUUCAGUUUUCAUCAACGCCUAGGUCUGAUUCAGAUCCUUUUCAUGGCCUCCCCGAGCACGAUGCUUCGCUAGUUUGACACAGGCACCAGCUCAGCAAAGGAGCAAAAGGAGGCAGCACAGAUUCUCAAAUGAUUCUGAAAUGAGGGAAGCGUUUGGACCUAGUGUUUGAGGAUCUGUUGGAUUUUGUGAACCGAGUAUCUUCUGCAAGUGUAAACUAUCAUCUUUUAUUUAUUUACCUCCAUGUGCGAACAAGUGUAAAGUAUUAGAAUAUAUUUAUUCCAUUCUCCACUCCAUGGAACCUAUACUCUGCCUGACGAAGUGCUGCAGACUGGUGCUCCUGGUGGUGAUGCGCAACCUUUGCCUGGUGGUGAUGCGCAAGCGCUGCUGCAGGCUGAAGAUCCUGCAGUCUGCACCAACCUGGGUGGUGAUCCUGCAUUGCAUGGCGAAGAGUUGUACUAAUUAUUUGAUAUAUUGUGUAUUCUUCUAUGUAUACAAUAAAUUGACUACAAAGAUCAAAUUAUGCAUUAGAUCACCA